GCAAGUCGAACGGUAACAGGAUAAGUGCUUGCACUUAUCGCUGACGAGUGGCGGACGGGUGAGUAACGCGUAGGAAUCUGCCCUGUAGUGGGGGAUAACCCGGGGAAACCCGGGCUAAUACCGCAUACGCUCUACGGAGGAAAGCGUGGGACCUUAGGGCCACGCACUAUGGGAUGAGCCUGCGUUAGAUUAGCUAGUUGGUGGGGUAAAGGCCUACCAAGGCGACGAUGAAUAGCCGGCCUGAGAGGGUGACC
Molecule: ribosomal RNA, 254 nt
Filed under: uncultured bacterium
Lineage: Bacteria
Description: partial 16S ribosomal RNA
Rfam family: Bacterial small subunit ribosomal RNA
Source: RNAcentral